Molecule: ribosomal RNA, 492 nt
Filed under: uncultured bacterium
Lineage: Bacteria
Description: partial 16S ribosomal RNA
Rfam family: Bacterial small subunit ribosomal RNA
Source: RNAcentral
AGUGAACGCUGGCGGUAGGCCUAACACAUGCAAGUCGAACGGCAGCACAGUAAGAGCUUGCUCUUACGGGUGGCGAGUGGCGGACGGGUGAGGAAUACAUCGGAAUCUACUUUUUCGUGGGGGAUAACGUAGGGAAACUUACGCUAAUACCGCAUACGACCUACGGGUGAAAGCAGGGGAUCUUCGGACCUUGCACGAUUGAAUGAGCCGAUGUCGGAUUAGCUAGUUGGCGGGGUAAAGGCCCACCAAGGCGACGAUCCGUAGCUGGUCUGAGAGGAUGAUCAGCCACACUGGAGCUGAGACACGGUCCAGACUCCUACGGGAGGCAGCAGUGGGGAAUAUUGGACAAUGGGCGCAAGCCUGAUCCAGCCAUACCGCGUGGGUGAAGAAGGCCUUCGGGUUGUAAAGCCCUUUUGUUGGGAAAGAAAAGCAGCAGGUUAAUACCCCGCUGUUCUGACGGUACCCAAAGAAUAAGCACCGGCUAACUUCGUG